UCAAUCAAGCUGUGUAACNAUCUAGGCACCUCUUGCGCNUGUUACGAGUUGUAACUUGAAGAACGUAUCUUUGGAGUUGGCCCCCGUCUAUGUUCCUUGGAACAGGACGUCACAGAGGGUGAGAAUCCCGUGCGAUGGGGAGACCAAUUCUAUGUAAAGUUCCUUCGAAGAGUCGAGUUGUUUGGGAAUGCAGCUCUAAGUGGGUGGUAAAUUCCAUCUAAAGCUAAAUAUUGGCGAGAGACCGAUAGCGAACAAGUACAGUGAUGGAAAGAUGAAAAGAACUUUGAAAAGAGAGUGAAAAAGUACGUGAAAUUGUUGAAAGGGAAGGGCUUUUGAUCAGACUUGGUGUUUAGUACUCUCUACUCCUUGUGGGUGGGGCUCUUGCUUUAUACUGGGCCAGCAUCGGUUUGGAUGGUAGGAUAAUAGCAUUGGAAUGUGGCUUCAUUCGUGAAGUGUUAUAGCCUUUGUUGAUACUACCUAUCUAGACCGAAGGACUGCGUCUUUUGACUAGGAUGCUGGCGUAAUGAUUAAAAGCC
This 536-nucleotide ribosomal RNA is filed under the name Nakazawaea ernobii. Its description in RNAcentral is "eukaryotic LSU rRNA". It matches the Rfam family "Eukaryotic large subunit ribosomal RNA", at positions 99 to 646 of the family's 3401-position model. Lineage: Eukaryota; Fungi; Ascomycota; Pichiomycetes; Alaninales; Pachysolenaceae. The record is from RNAcentral.